Non-coding RNA from Cyanistes caeruleus (blue tit), 319 nucleotides. The record is from RefSeq and is a predicted model, not a curated record. NCBI's taxonomy places the organism in Eukaryota, Metazoa, Chordata, Aves, Passeriformes, Paridae.
GCCCCGGCCGCGCUCUGACGGGCCUCUCUCCCAGGGACACUUCCCGUAUCCCGACGCUUCGGCCUGGACGGACGAGGAGCUCGGCAUCCCUCCGGACGAUGAGGAAUAGCAGCACACCGCUCAAAACCAAAAGCUUCUACUACUGCUGAAGGUAGCAUUGAGGAGGUCCUUCUGCUCUGCCUGGUGGGAAAAGGAUGAAUGAAAAGGUUCUCAGGUUUUUCUUCUGUUACUUUCAGGUUCCUGGAACUAAAUGAGGCCCCUAGAACCAAAUCUUUGUCUCCUGGGUCCUUAUGUCAAUAAAACUGUAAACAAAGUUGAA